CGUAAGAAUGUCUUCCCUACGCGCGACUGCUGAGGAGUUCAGAGAUGUAACACAGAUCUCAUUUGAAUCUCUGAUCUCCAGGUGCAGACGCUGAAUAGUCUGUGCCAGAGCCGCAGCAGCAUGUUUCCUUUCCAGCAGAUUUUCCUUGGACGAUUCUCAAACCGAGUCUCGUGGUUUUGUUUACACUGAAUAGGGAAUAUAGGAGCGGUGCCAUGGGGCCUUCUUUCAUUAAUAUACAGUGAGGAUUUUGUCUAAAUUACUGCUACGAAUUUCACAGCACACGCAUUUAAAGGCGUUUCAGGUGGACUGAUGAAACGUGAAUGCGCCGGCGAAAAAAAAACGAAAUUUCUCUCCAUUAAAACCCUUAAAAGCCAAUUAUUAUGACCGAUAGAUACCUAAACUAUAUUAUGUCUUAAAAAAUAAACAUCUUCAAUAGCUUGUUUCCCCACCAAGAAAAAAAAAGUAAAACAUCAGAGAGCAAUUUGUACUGAUUUACAUUUGCAUAAAUUUUCAUAUAUUUUGGUGAAAAUAAUAGUGAGUGCCGGGCUCAGUGGUGCCAGUACAGGGGUACAUCUUAGAGAAGAUCGACGGGGAACAAUCCGGAGCGAGGGUUAAAAAGUAAAGCAAAUAUUCCAAAUAUACCAAACUUUUCAACACUCUUUAUGGUUUGAAUAGCGAACAUGCCAUUGGUACUCCAAGUUCAAAUUGUUUCAGUCACACUGUGUGAAUCAGCAAAGAAGGAACUAAUCAGUGAUCCUUGUGACUGGUGGAUCAUAUACCUUGACAGAAAGCCAUCACUACAGGAUUUGUGUUUAUGAAACUAUCCUGCUAAAUGGGAUCACAAAUCUAAGGAGAACAAUCAAGCAAAGGCAGCCAAAGGUUCAAGAUGGAUUAAGACCCAAUUCUUUCACCAUUUUCCUAACUUCACUCAAUGUUAAGAUGGAAGUUUUGAUGCCACAUUUCAGCUCCAACACAAAGUCCUUUAAAGAAAUGGUGGACUCAGGAGACAAGUACCAGAAUGGACAGCAAGCAGGCUACAAAGCAGGAAAAUUAGAGGCAUUAGUGGAAGCCAGAGAACCUCAGCUAAGAAGAGGCCAGCACCAGACAUCUUUAGCUUCACCUCCAUCCUCAGAGGAUGUAUAGGCAUUAUGCAUCCUCAGUGAGUUCAGUUUGCAGAUCAAAUGUGAAAGCAUAUACUGUUCAACAUGUCAAUGAUACAACUCUGCAGCUGAUUGAGACAGAAAUGCCCAGGGAAGAAGAUAAUCCCAUAGUCUAUGCCAUUAAUGACUUUGCAUGCACAGAUACAGGAAUAUCAGGUAGGUUUGUCAAAUGCACUUGGUAAGCUGGAUCGAAGGAUGAAGAAGUCUAAGAACAUUAUCAUAUUGUUCUGAAUAAGGGUCACCGGAACCAAACCAUUAACUUUGAUUUCUCUUCACAGAUCCUGCCAGAUCUGCUAAGCUUUUCCAGCAACUUCUGUUUUUAUUAUUAAUAUUGUGCUGGCCUUAGCCCUGUAGUCUGCCAUCCUAGCCAAAGGUGCUCCCAGCAUCAAUGGCAAGAUGAAAGAAGCUGAGGAGCCUUGAUCUCACUUCAGCUGCCCCUUCCC
Non-coding RNA from Chiloscyllium plagiosum (whitespotted bambooshark), 1603 nucleotides. The record is from RefSeq and is a predicted model, not a curated record. Lineage: Eukaryota; Metazoa; Chordata; Chondrichthyes; Orectolobiformes; Hemiscylliidae.